Belonocnema kinseyi is the source of this 844-nucleotide long non-coding RNA. RefSeq lists it as uncharacterized. The record is from RefSeq and is a predicted model, not a curated record. NCBI's taxonomy places the organism in Eukaryota, Metazoa, Arthropoda, Insecta, Hymenoptera, Cynipidae. The transcript has 3 exons.
GUCCCCAGAUGGCAAGGUUGGCCAAGGCUCAUGCUUUCCCAACUUACGUGCGAUUGUCGGCCCUGUAUAAACUAUUGUUCUAAUUGAACAAAAGUCGUCUAGCUUAAUAUUGAAACAUUAAUUUUUUAAUGAUUGUCGGUUCUUGUAUAAGGGCUUUUGCUGCAAUUAAGUACAUCGCCCGCUUCGCACAUAACAUUAACAUUGCGGCAGUGAAUACCCUUAAGUAAAUCUGAAGAGUAAGGAUAAGACUACCUAAAAUAAAGCCAUUAAAGUCUACAUUAAAACAAAUGAGGAAGACUCCAAGUUUCUUUCGAAGAAGCAAAAGGAAUACUGAAGAGUUAAAGGCUUUUCAAAUGAAAAAGUACGAUAAGGCAGAGUCUGAGUGCCCGAAGCUGAUUCAGGAAGUAAGGAAAAGGCGGAGCUCCGACUACCAAAUGCUGGACUGAUUUCUGAAAUUUACAAGUUUUAUUUGUCGAUUUUUGGCGAAAAUUACGAGGGAGAAGACCGGCAAAUAAAGCCAUUGGGAAUUAUAACGACCUAUGAGGAAAGAGUUGUUUCGGAAGUACGGAAUUUGCUCAGGCGAUUGGACCCGGUAACAAAAGAAGUGUGAGCAGAAAAGUUAUAGAAGAAUAUCAGCCAUGGCAUGUUGCCGCUUUCAAAUUAGAAGAAAGAUUGCUGUCAAACGCUGUUCAAGCUAUCGGAAAUGGAGUGGAAGCAAAAACAAGGACGGAAUUGAAUGGUUUGAAUACAGAGGUACCAACAUCAUCUGUAGCUGCUACUGGAUUAAAUGACAUCUGUGUGCUCUUCGUCAAUUAGACCCUCGAAAAACAGCCUGAUGCCAACC